CGAGCCACUGCGCAGUCUUAAACCUGAAUUUGCAGCAGAAACCCCUGUCCCUGGAUCAUUUGUAUGUGUGAAUACAACAGCCUCUGAUCUCCGAACGCCUGGUGCUUCUGAACGCCGCUUCUGCCCCCACCGUACUAUACCAGGGGUUGUGGCUAGACCCAUACUAUUAUAGAUACUUGGCGGUAGCUGUGGGAGAUCCUAAGUUAUCACAAGUCGGAGGUGUGACUGUUGUCAUGUAAACUACAUUCUGUGCUAAAGAUAAUAAGCAUUGGAGGAAGCAGCAAACAAUGCUAGGUAGAUAGCAGCAGUCAGGAAGGACCAUAGGGCGAGCGACAAGGCUGUGUUCGACGUUCAACUUUGGGAGAGCAGCUGUAGUGAUACCCUUACAAAAACCCAUUUUCCCCAUACUCGCCUUUCCUGCCCUUCCCUGGCUCUGUUAUUGGGCCAUAAUGGGAUGCUAUUGCUCUGCAAAAUCUAGUGCCGUACAGGAAAUAAAAGGGAAAUUUUAGAAAAGAGGAAAAUAGGUGAAAAGACACGAAAUGCAUAAACCUUUGAUUGAUACUGCAGUUAGGUAGUUAGGUAAUUGGCUUGGGCAAGGUGGUAGAUGCGAAGUCCACCAAGCCGAUGAACAGUCUGGACUGGACCCAUACACCUUCGGAGUUUUUUUUUCAUGUUUUCUUUUUUACAUAUGCAAUAACACCUUUUUGUAUUGUAGUUUCAACCAUUCAUGUUUUAUGCUGUAUUUUCCCAUAUAAGUAUUUUAAUGCAAUAAACUUCAUCUAUAAA
Molecule: long non-coding RNA, 786 nt
Filed under: Penaeus monodon (black tiger shrimp)
Lineage: Eukaryota; Metazoa; Arthropoda; Malacostraca; Decapoda; Penaeidae
Description: uncharacterized LOC119586093, transcript variant X2
Source: RNAcentral